CUAAGAAUAUUCCGCAAUGGACGAAAGUCUGACGGAGCGACGCCGCGUGGAUGAAGAAGGCCGAAAGGUUGUAAAAUCCUUUUGUCGGGGAAGAAUAAGCGUGGGAGGGAAUGCCCGCGUGAUGACAUGAACCGGCGAAUAAGCCCCGGCUAACUACGUGCCAGCAGCCGCGGUAACACGUAGGGGGCGAGCGUUGUUCGGAAUUACUGGGCGUAAAGGGCAUGUAGGCGGUUUUGUAAGCCUGGCGUGAAAUUCUGCAGCUUAACUGUAGGACUGCGCUGGGAACUGCGAGACUGGAGUCACGGAGAGGAGCCAGAAUUCCGAGGUGUAGGGGUGAAAUCGUGUAGAUAUCUGGAAGAAUACCAAUGGCGAAGGCAGGCUUCGUGGCCGAUGACUGACGCU
RNAcentral lists this ribosomal RNA (402 nucleotides) under uncultured bacterium. Its description in RNAcentral is "bacterial SSU rRNA". It matches the Rfam family "Bacterial small subunit ribosomal RNA", at positions 355 to 747 of the family's 1533-position model. The record is from RNAcentral.